UGGGGGGAUAUUGCACAAUGGGGGAAACCCUGAUGCAGCGACGCCGCGUGAGUGAAGAAGUAUUUUCGGUAUGUAAAGCUCUAUCAGCAGGAAAGAUAAUGACGGUACCUGACUAAGAAGCACCGGCUAAAUACGUGCCAGCAGCCGCGGUAAUACGUAUGGUGCAAGCGUUAUCCGGAUUUACUGGGUGUAAAGGGAGCGCAGACGGCAUGGCAAAGCCAGAUGUGAAAGGUGGGGGCUCAACCCCCAAGCUGCAUUUGGAACUGUCAAGCUAGAGUAUCGGAGAGGUAAGUGGAAUUCCUAGUGUAGCGGUGAAAUGCGUAGAUAUUAGGAGGAACACCAGUGGCGAAGGCGGCUUACUGGACGAUAACU
This 372-nucleotide ribosomal RNA is filed under the name uncultured Clostridium sp. RNAcentral's name for it is "bacterial SSU rRNA". It matches the Rfam family "Bacterial small subunit ribosomal RNA", at positions 354 to 741 of the family's 1533-position model. Lineage: Bacteria; Bacillati; Bacillota; Clostridia; Eubacteriales; Clostridiaceae. The record is from RNAcentral.